Long non-coding RNA from Juglans microcarpa x Juglans regia, 152 nucleotides. RefSeq lists it as uncharacterized. The record is from RefSeq and is a predicted model, not a curated record. NCBI's taxonomy places the organism in Eukaryota, Viridiplantae, Streptophyta, Magnoliopsida, Fagales, Juglandaceae. The transcript is spliced from 3 exons.
GCCUUCUCUUCAAAAAGUCUCAUGAGUCAUAAGGGAAUUAAGCGUGUGUUUCUUGCUUGCUUAAUUAUUCAGAUUCACCAUCGAUCGAGUGGAAUAUUAAUUGCAAAAAUAGUAUCUAAAAUCUACAAAAUUUGACGUGCAUGCAUGGAUGC